This 361-nucleotide transfer RNA is filed under the name uncultured Microcystis sp. RNAcentral describes it as "partial 16S-23S ribosomal RNA intergenic spacer". The stretch from base 136 to 209 matches the Rfam family "tRNA". The record is from RNAcentral. Lineage: Bacteria; Bacillati; Cyanobacteriota; Cyanophyceae; Chroococcales; Microcystaceae.
AAAGGGAGACCUAAUUCAGGUAAGAGACGAAAAAAAAGUAGUCGCUACCAAGAAUCAAUCCCAAAAGGUCGGAGCGAGGCGAAAUUGGCUUUCAAACUAGGUUCUGGGUUCACACAAGACCUGAAUCAGGAACAAGGGCUAUUAGCUCAGGUGGUUAGAGCGCACCCCUGAUAAGGGUGAGGUCCCUGGUUCGAGUCCAGGAUGGCCCACCUGCACAGGUGGCAAAAACAAGAGAAGCUCCGAAUCAGCACCUUAUCUUACUGACAUAGUAAGAGAGAAUGCUGGCUCUGAGUAAAGAGUCCAGAGGAACCUUGAAAACUGCAUAGAGCUAGGUGAAAAAGCCAAAAAAGAAGACCGCAAG